RNAcentral lists this ribosomal RNA (457 nucleotides) under uncultured bacterium. RNAcentral's name for it is "partial 16S ribosomal RNA". It matches the Rfam family "Bacterial small subunit ribosomal RNA", at positions 28 to 523 of the family's 1533-position model. The record is from RNAcentral.
GAUGAACGCUGGCGGCGUGCCUAAUACAUGCAAGUCGUACGGAAAGGCCCUUCGGGGUACUCGAGUGGCGGACGGCUGAGUAACGCGUGGGAACGUGCCCCAAAGUGAGGGAUAACGCACCGAAAGGUGUGCUAAUACCGCAUAUGGUCUUCGGAUUAAAGCUUCGGCGCUUUGGGAGCGGCCCGCGUACGAUUAGAUAGUUGGUGAGGUAAUGGCUCACCAAGUCGACGAUCGUUAGCUGGUCUGAGAGGAUGAUCAGCCAGACUGGGACUGAGACACGGCCCAGACUCCUACGGGAGGCAGCAGUAAGGAAUCUUCCACAAUGGGGGCAACCUUGAUGGAGCAGCGCCGCGUGCAGGAUGAAGGUUUUCGGAUCGUAAACUGCUUUUAUAAGUGAAGAAUAUGACGGUAACUUAUGAAUAAGGAUCGGCUAACUACGUGCCAGCCGCCGCAGUAA